CUGUCGAAAAACCAUGGAACAAAAAAAAUUAAAAACGGAGGUGAGGAGGGACUAUGAAGAGGUAAAACAGCACAAAUGAGGGGAGAGAUAACGGCAGUUCCGGCUUGGCUGUGGGACAGUGGACCAGCCCUUAGGGGCAGAGGGCUUGUGGCGAGUGCUGCAGGAAUGACAGGACAUCAGGGAACAGCUCAGGCAGGAAGGGCAACUGUGAUGGAGUUUUGCAGGCGCCGAGGACGUUUGUGGUGGUGAAGUCGUCGGGCGAAGCUCAUGGUCCCCAG
Molecule: long non-coding RNA, 278 nt
Organism: Brienomyrus brachyistius
Lineage: Eukaryota; Metazoa; Chordata; Actinopteri; Osteoglossiformes; Mormyridae
Exons: 4
Source: RefSeq, a predicted model, not a curated record